GCGACAGCGACCGCGCGGCCGCCGCUACGAAGCGAAAACGCCGAGACAGCGCGGCCGAGUGGUGCACAUGCGGUUCGUGCCGCUCAAUGGACACGGGACGCGAAGACGUCUGCUGUCGGGACGUGCCGGCAGCAAUGCAAAAAAUGCCCGUGGGGUGCGUCGCAACAGCCGCAGAAUUUCAGGCGUCGUGCCUCACAGAAAUUGUGGUGCAAUUAGCAUGCAGAUGCUUGAAAACCAGGGAGUUUUCAGGAACACCCCACUGCAUGAGAGAUACCGCCAUGUUGCCUACAAACAAUGUGCAUCGUGGCUUUGGGGGCGCCUCGAAGAGGGAGAUAGGCGUGUGCUGCCAUCCUGCGUAGUGUGGGCCAUCCGGGACAAGUUUCCGUCUACGUUUUAUACAGGGUUCAAACCUGCACAAUAGUAGU
Molecule: long non-coding RNA, 425 nt
Organism: Ornithodoros turicata
Lineage: Eukaryota; Metazoa; Arthropoda; Arachnida; Ixodida; Argasidae
Exons: 3
Source: RefSeq, a predicted model, not a curated record